Molecule: ribosomal RNA, 442 nt
Filed under: uncultured bacterium
Lineage: Bacteria
Description: partial 16S ribosomal RNA
Rfam family: Bacterial small subunit ribosomal RNA
Source: RNAcentral
CCUACGGGAGGCAGCAGUGGGGAAUAUUGGGCAAUGGGCGCAAGCCUGACCCAGCAACGCCGCGUGAAGGAAGAAGGCUUUCGGGUUGUAAACUUCUUUUAAGGGGGAAGAGCAGAAGACGGUACCCCUUGAAUAAGCCACGGCUAACUACGUGCCAGCAGCCGCGGUAAUACGUAGGUGGCAAGCGUUGUCCGGAUUUACUGGGUGUAAAGGGCGUGCAGCCGGAGAGACAAGUCAGAUGUGAAAUCUACGGGCUCAACCCGUGAACUGCAUUUGAAACUGUUUCCCUUGAGUGUCGGGGAGGUAUGCGGAAUUCCUUGUGUAGCGGUGAAAUGCGUAGAUAUAAGGAAGAACACCAGUGGCGAAGGCGGAUUACUGGACGAUAACUGACGGUGAGGCGCGAAGGCGUGGGGAGCAAACAGGAUUAGAUACCCUUGUAGUC